CAUUUCUAGUUUAUAGUGAAAAUGUUAGUUUGUCGUGCUAGAGAAGAUUUUAGAUCGAAAUGGGU
Molecule: transfer RNA, 65 nt
Filed under: Orthocoelium streptocoelium
Lineage: Eukaryota; Metazoa; Platyhelminthes; Trematoda; Plagiorchiida; Paramphistomidae
Description: tRNA-Asp
Source: RNAcentral